This 489-nucleotide ribosomal RNA is filed under the name uncultured bacterium. Its description in RNAcentral is "partial 16S ribosomal RNA". It matches the Rfam family "Bacterial small subunit ribosomal RNA", at positions 30 to 507 of the family's 1533-position model. The record is from RNAcentral.
AUUGAACGCUGGCGGCAGGCCUAACACAUGCAAGUCGAACGGUACAGGAAGAAGCUUGCUUCUUUGCUGACGAGUGGCGGACGGGUGAGUAAUGUCUGGGAAACUGCCUGAUGGAGGGGGAUAACUACUGGAAACGGUAGCUAAUACCGCAUAACGUCGCAAGACCAAAGAGGGGGACCUUCGGGCCUCUUGCCAUCGGAUGUUCCCAGAUGGGAUUAGCUAGUAGGUGGGGUAACGGCUCACCUAGGCGACGAUCCCUAGCUGGUCUGAGAGGAUGACCAGCCACACUGGAACUGAGACACGGUCCAGACUCCUACGGGAGGCAGCAGUGGGGAAUAUUGCACAAUGGGCGCAAGCCUGAUGCAGCCAUGCCGCGUGUAUGAAGAAGGCCUUCGGGUUGUAAAGUACUUUCAGCGGGGAGGAAGGGAGUAAAGUUAAUACCUUUGCUCAUUGACGUUACCCGCAGAAGAAGCACCGGCUAACUCCGUG